Molecule: long non-coding RNA, 878 nt
Organism: Canis lupus familiaris (dog)
Lineage: Eukaryota; Metazoa; Chordata; Mammalia; Carnivora; Canidae
Exons: 3
Source: RefSeq, a predicted model, not a curated record
CUGCGGGACCCCGGGCUAGCCUCGGCGGCUGAUGGAGGCCCCGGCCGCCCCGCCUCUCGCCGCCCCGCCAGUCCCGAGAUGUCUUGUGUCCGCCUGGAGCCUGGGGCCGGGAGGGCCGUUGCCAGAACUGGAGGCACAGAACAGCAGAUCGCGGUGGACCUCCCUCCCCCAGCAGCCACCCUUUCUGACACGUGCCGGGCCCCGACGGUUACCGUUACCUGCCGUGCGUUCCUUACCCGCUUUUCACGCUAAAGGGAUCACUGCCCCCAUCCGCAGCACCAAGCAACUGGUUUUGCACCGGCACGGGCAGAAGAAAACCUAAUCACUAAAAUAUUGUGCCACAUCCUUCUGACCUCUCCAUGAUGUCUGAUGGUGAAUUCUGUAAUUCUGAUUGCUUCCUCACUACAGGUUACUGCCUCCUUCCUUCAUCGCCUUCAUUCUACUGUUGAGCCAUCCACUAAGCCUUUUAUUUUAUUGUGUUUUUCAAUUCUAAAAUUUCCAUUUAGUUUUUGAUAACUUCUUUUACUCCACUGAGAUUUUCUUUUCUUUUCUUUCUUUUUUUUCCUAAGGCUUUCUGUUUUUUCAUACGUUUCAAGCAUGCUUAUAAUUGCAUUGUAGCAUUUUUAUGAUGGCUACUUUAAAAACAUUGUCAGAUAAUUCUAGCAUUUCUGUAAUCUCAGUGUUGGCAUCUAUUGAUUGUUUUUAUUCAAGUUAAGAUUUUUCUGGUCCUUGUUUGACAUAUGAUUUUCUCUUGAAACCUGGACAUUUAAAAAAAAAUUGUUUUUGUAGACCCUGGAUCUCAUUUAAACCUUUCUUUUUUAAAAAAAUUUUUUUUAAAUUUAUGCAUGAGAGACAGAGAGAGGCAGAGACACAGGCAG